Molecule: ribosomal RNA, 451 nt
Filed under: uncultured bacterium
Lineage: Bacteria
Description: bacterial SSU rRNA
Rfam family: Bacterial small subunit ribosomal RNA
Source: RNAcentral
GUGGGGAAUAUUGGACAAUGGGCGAAAGCCUGAUCCAGCCAUGCCGCGUGUGUGAAGAAGGUCUUCGGAUUGUAAAGCACUUUAAGCGAGGAGGAGGCUACCGAGAUUAAUACUCUUGGAUAGUGGACGUUACUCGCAGAAUAAGCACCGGCUAACUCUGUGCCAGCAGCCGCGGUAAUACAGAGGGUGCAAGCGUUAAUCGGAUUUACUGGGCGUAAAGCGCGCGUAGGUGGCCAAUUAAGUCAAAUGUGAAAUCCCCGAGCUUAACUUGGGAAUUGCAUUCGAUACUGGUUGGCUAGAGUAUGGGAGAGGAUGGUAGAAUUCCAGGUGUAGCGGUGAAAUGCGUAGAGAUCUGGAGGAAUACCGAUGGCGAAGGCAGCCAUCUGGCCUAAUACUGACACUGAGGUGCGAAAGCAUGGGGAGCAAACAGGAUUAGAAACCCGGGUAGUCC